RNAcentral lists this ribosomal RNA (253 nucleotides) under uncultured bacterium. RNAcentral describes it as "partial 16S ribosomal RNA". It matches the Rfam family "Bacterial small subunit ribosomal RNA", at positions 524 to 776 of the family's 1533-position model. The record is from RNAcentral.
UACGUAGGUGGCAAGCGUUAUCCGGAAUUAUUGGGCGUAAAGCGCGCGCAGGCGGUCCUUUAAGUCUGAUGUGAAAGCCCACGGCUCAACCGUGGAGGGUCAUUGGAAACUGGGGGACUUGAGUGCUGAAGAGGAGAGUGGAAUUCCACGUGUAGCGGUGAAAUGCGUAGAGAUGUGGAGGAACACCAGUGGCGAAGGCGACUCUCUGGUCAGUAACUGACGCUGAGGCGCGAAAGCGUGGGGAGCGAACAGG